CUAAAUACUACCCAGUGACCGAUAGCGUAUAGUACUGUGAAGGAAAGGUGAAAAGCACCCCGGGAGGGGAGUGAAAAAGAACCUGAAACCCUGUGCCUACAAGCACCUAGAGCGCGUCAAAGCGUGAUAGGGUACUUUUUGUAGAACGGUCCGGCGAGCGAUUGUAUGCAGCAAGGUUAAGGACUUAAGGUCUGGAGCCGAAGCGAAAGCGAGUUUGAAAAGGGCGUUAAGUUGCAUAUAAUGGGCCCGAAACCGGGUGACCUACCCAUGGUCAGGUUGAAGUGGAAGUAAAAUUCCAUGGAGGACCGAACCGACCUCCGUUGAAAAGGCGGCGGAUGAACUGUGGGUAGCGGAGAAAUUCCAAUCGAACCCGGAGAUAGCUGGUUCUCCCCGAAAUAGUUUUAGGACUAGCCUCAAGUUAGAUACCUGGAGGUAAAGCACUGAAUAGCCUAGCGGCCGAGAGGUUAGCGAAGCUUAUCAAACUCAGAAUGCCAGAGUAUUGAUGCUUGGGAGUCAGACAGUGUCAGAUAAAUGUCAUUGUCAAAAGGGAAACAGCCCAGAUCUACAGCUAAGGUCCCAAAGUCAGGUUAAGUGGAAAACGAUGUGAAGAUACGCAGACAACCAGGAUGUUGGCUCAGAAGCAGCCACUCAUUCAAAGAGUGCGUAAUAGCUCACUGGUCGAGCGUCUUUGCGCGGAGAAUUUAACGGGGCUAAACCUGACACCGAAGCUUAGGCAAUACAGUAAUGUAUUGGGUAGGGGAGCGUUGUAUACGCGGUGAAACAGUAGCGCAAGCGGCUGUGGAGUGUAUAGAAGUGAGAAUGCCGGAAUGAGUAGCGCGAAUGCAGUGAGAAUCUGCAUGGCCGAAAGCCUCAGGUUUCUGGAGGAAGGUUCGUCCGCUCCAGGUUAGUCGGGAGCUAAGGUGAGGCCUAACGGCGUAGCCGAUGCACAGACGGUAGAGAUUCCGUCACCACCAAAAGAGUUAAACACAGGGACACAUAUGAAGUCUCGGAGCCGGGUGUUGGUUCCGGUAGCGAUCGAGGGAAGUUAGUACCGAAGUCCGAGAUGGAAGAUGGCGAGAAAAGCUGUGUGUAUUUCUGCGGUGCCCGUACCGCAAACCGACACAGGUAGGUAGGAAGAAGAUUCUAAGGCCAACGGGAGAAGGGUUGUUAAGGAACUCGGCAAAUUGACCCCGUAACUUCGGGAGAAGGGGUGCUCCAGAGAUGGAGCCGCAGAGAAUCGGCCCAAGCAACUGUUUACCAAAAACACAGGUUUGUGCUAAAUCGAAAGAUGACGUAUACGAGCUGACGCCUGCCCGGUGCUGGAAGGUUAAGAGGAGAUGUGCAAGCAUUGAAUCGAAGCCCCAGUGAACGGCGGCCGUAACUAUAACGGUCCUAAGGUAGCGAAAUUCCUUGUCAGGUAAG
Molecule: ribosomal RNA, 1422 nt
Filed under: human gut metagenome
Description: bacterial LSU rRNA
Rfam family: Bacterial large subunit ribosomal RNA
Source: RNAcentral